GACGAACGCUGGCGGCGUGCCUAACACAUGCAAGUAGAACGCUGAAGGAGGAGCUUGCUCUGCUGGACGAGUUGCGAACGGGUGAGUAACGCGUAGGUAACCUGCCUGGUAGUGGGGGAUAACUAUUGGAAACGAUAGCUAAUACCGCAUAAGAGCAGAUGUUGCAUGACAUUGGCUUCAAAGGUGCAAUUGCAUCACUACCAGAUGGAGCUGCGUUGUGUUAGCUUGUGGGGGGGGGAACGGCUCACCAAGGCGACGAUACAUAGUCGACCUGGGAGGGUGGUCCGCCCCCCUGGGACUGGGGCCCGGCCCAGGCUCCCUCGGGGGGCAGCCGGAGGGGAACUUCGGACAUGGGCGGAAGGCUGACCGCGCAACGCCGCGUGAGUGGAGAAGGUUUUCGGGUCGUAAAGCUCUGUUGUGAGGGGAGAACGAGUGUGAGAGUGGAAAGUUCACUCUGUGACGGUAUCUUACCAGAAAGCACCGGCUAACUACGUG
This 495-nucleotide ribosomal RNA is filed under the name uncultured bacterium. Its description in RNAcentral is "partial 16S ribosomal RNA". It matches the Rfam family "Bacterial small subunit ribosomal RNA", at positions 28 to 507 of the family's 1533-position model. The record is from RNAcentral.